Molecule: ribosomal RNA, 1405 nt
Filed under: uncultured bacterium
Lineage: Bacteria
Description: 16S ribosomal RNA
Rfam family: Bacterial small subunit ribosomal RNA
Source: RNAcentral
UAGAGUUUGAUCCUGGCUCAGGAUGAACGCUAGCUACAGGCUUAACACAUGCAAGUCGAGGGGAAACGGCAGCUUAGCUUGCUAAGCUGGACGUCGACCGGCGCACGGGUGAGUAACGCGUAUCCAACCUGCCCACAAGUAGGGAAUAAUCCGUAGAAAUGCGGUCUAAUGCCUUAUGUGGUUUGACGAUGACAUCAGAAUUAAAUUAAAGACUUGUCGCUUGUGGAUGGGGAUGCGUCUGAUUAGGCAGUAGGCGGGGCAACGGCCCACCUAGCCGACGAUCAGUAGGGGUUCUGAGAGGAAAGUCCCCCACAUUGGAACUGAGACACGGUCCAAACUCCUACGGGAGGCAGCAGUGAGGAAUAUUGGUCAAUGGCCGCGAGGCUGAACCAGCCAAGUAGCGUGCAGGAGGACGGCCCUAUGGGUUGUAAACUGCUUUUAUGCGGGAAUAAAGUCAGGUACGCGUACCUGUUUGCAUGUACCGCAUGAAUAAGGACCGGCUAAUUCCGUGCCAGCAGCCGCGGUAAUACGGAAGGUCCGGGCGUUAUCCGGAUUUAUUGGGUUUAAAGGGAGCGCAGGCGGAGGAUUAAGCGUGACGUGAAAUGUCCCGGCUCAACCCGUGGAACUGCGUCGCGAAACUGGUUUUUCUUGAGUGAGUGCGAACGUCGGCGGAAAUUCGUGGUGUAGCGGUGAAAAUGCUUAGAUAUCACGAAGAACCCCGAUUGCGAAGGCAGCCGACGAGUCCUUAACUGACGCUAAAGCUCGAAAGUGCGGGUAUCGAACAGGAUUAGAUACCCUGGUAGUCCGCACGGUAAACGAUGGAUGCCCGCUGUCUGCGAUAUACUGUAGGCGGCCAAGAGAAAUCGUUAAGCAUCCCACCUGGGGAGUACGCCGGCAACGGUGAAACUCAAAGGAAUUGACGGGGGCCCGCACAAGCGGAGGAACAUGUGGUUUAAUUCGAUGAUACGCGAGGAACCUUACCCGGGCUUGAACUGCAGGCGAACGAUACAGAGAUGUUGAGGCCCUUCGGGGCGCCUGUGGAGGUGCUGCAUGGUUGUCGUCAGCUCGUGCCGUGAGGUGUCGGCUUAAGUGCCAUAACGAGCGCAACCCCUUUCUCCAGUUGCCAUCAGGCGAUGCUGGGCACUCUGGAGACACUGCCACCGUAAGGUGUGAGGAAGGUGGGGAUGACGUCAAAUCAGCACGGCCCUUACGUCCGGGGCUACACACGUGUUACAAUGGGUGGUACAGAGAGUUGGUCGUUUGCAAAUGCGAUCUAAUCAUGAAAGCCAUCCUCAGUUCGGAUUGGGGUCUGCAACCCGACCCCAUGAAGCUGGAUUCGCUAGUAAUCGCGCAUCAGCCAUGGCGCGGUGAAUACGUUCCCGGGCCUUGCACUCACCGCCCGUCA